CCCUCCCUCUGGCUUCAGGCCUAACACAUGCAAGUCGAGCGCCCUUUCGGGGGAGCGGCGGACGGGUGAGUAACGCGUGGGAAUAUGCCCUUCUCUACGGAAUAGCCUCGGGAAACUGAGAGUAAUACCGUAUACGCCCUGUGGGGGAAAGAUUUAUCGGGGAAGGAUUAGCCCGCGUUGGAUUAGGUAGUUGGUGGGGUAAUGGCCUACCAAGCCGACGAUCCAUAGCUGGUUUGAGAGGAUGAUCAGCCACACUGGGACUGAGACACGGCCCAGACUCCUACGGGAGGCAGCAGUGGGGAAUCUUAGACAAUGGGGGCAACCCUGAUCUAGCCAUGCCGCGUGAGUGAUGAAGGCCUUAGGGUUGUAAAGCUCUUUCAGCUGGGAAGAUAAUGACGGUACCAGCAGAAGAAGCCCCGGCUAACUCCGUG
RNAcentral lists this ribosomal RNA (431 nucleotides) under uncultured bacterium. RNAcentral's name for it is "partial 16S ribosomal RNA". It matches the Rfam family "Bacterial small subunit ribosomal RNA", at positions 36 to 507 of the family's 1533-position model. The record is from RNAcentral.